GAUGAACGCUGGCGGCGUGCCUAAUACAUGCAAGUCGAGCGAACGGACGCGAAGCUUGCUUCUCUGAUGUUAGCGGCGGACGGGUGAGUAACACGUGGAUAACCUACCUAUAAGACUGGGAUAACUUCGGGAAACCGUAUCUAAUACCGGAUAAUAUUUUGAACCGCAUGGUUCAAAAGUGAAAGACGGUCUUGCUGUCACUUAUCGAUGGAUCCGCGCUGCAUUGGCUAGUUGGUAAGGUAACGGCUUACCAAGGCAACGAUGCAUAGCCGACCUGAGAGGGUGAUAGGCCACACGGGAACUGAGACACGGUCCAGACUCCUACGGGAGGCAGCAGUAGGGAAUCGUCCGCAAUGGGCGAAAGCCUGACGGAGCAACGCCGCGUGAGUGAUGAAGGUCUUCGGAUCGUAAAACUCUGUUAUUAGGGAGGAACAUAUGUGUAAGUAACUGUGCACAGCUUGACGGUACCUAAUCAGAAAGCCACGGCUAACUACGUG
This 497-nucleotide ribosomal RNA is filed under the name uncultured bacterium. RNAcentral describes it as "partial 16S ribosomal RNA". It matches the Rfam family "Bacterial small subunit ribosomal RNA", at positions 28 to 507 of the family's 1533-position model. The record is from RNAcentral.